CUACGGGUGGCAGCAGUGGGGAAUAUUGCACAAUGGGGGAAACCCUGAUGCAGCGACGCCGCGUGAAGGAUGAAGGUCUUCGGAUCGUAAACUUCUAUCAGCAGGGAAGAAACAAAUGACGGUACCUGACUAAGAAGCUCCGGCUAACUACGUGCCAGCAGCCGCGGUAAUACGUAGGGAGCGAGCGUUAUCCGGAUUUACUGGGUGUAAAGGGUGCGUAGGCGGCCUGGUAAGUUAGAAGUGAAAUUUUGGGGCUCAACCCCAGAGCUGCUUCUAAAACUGCUGGGCUAGAGUGCAGGAGAGGAAAGCGGAACUCCACGUGUAGCGGUGAAAUGCGUAGAGAUGUGGAGGAACACCAGUAGCGAAGGCGGCUUUCUGGACUGUAACUGACGCUGAGGCGCGAAAGCGUGGGGAGCAAACAGGAUUAGAUACCCUCGUAGUC
RNAcentral lists this ribosomal RNA (442 nucleotides) under uncultured bacterium. Its description in RNAcentral is "partial 16S ribosomal RNA". It matches the Rfam family "Bacterial small subunit ribosomal RNA", at positions 339 to 795 of the family's 1533-position model. The record is from RNAcentral.